Molecule: ribosomal RNA, 925 nt
Filed under: Mitrula elegans
Lineage: Eukaryota; Fungi; Ascomycota; Leotiomycetes; Helotiales; Mitrulaceae
Description: eukaryotic LSU rRNA
Rfam family: Eukaryotic large subunit ribosomal RNA
Source: RNAcentral
AACUUAAGCAUAUCAAUAAGCGGAGGAAAAGAAACCAACAGGGAUUACCUCAGUAACGGCGAGUGAAGCGGUAACAGCUCAAAUUUGAAAUCUGGCUCUUUCAGGGUCCGAAUUGUAAUUUGUAGAAGAUGCUUCGAGUGUAGCUCCGGUCUAAGUUCCUUGGAACAGGACGUCAUAGAGGGUGAGAAUCCCGUAUGUGACUGGUGGCUUUCGCUCAUGUGAAGCUCUUUCGACGAGUCGAGUUGUUUGGGAAUGCAGCUCAAAAUGGGUGGUAUAUUUCAUCUAAAGCUAAAUAUUGGCCAGAGACCGAUAGCGCACAAGUAGAGUGAUCGAAAGAUGAAAAGCACUUUGGAAAGAGAGUUAAACAGUACGUGAAAUUGUUGAAAGGGAAGCGCUUGCAACCAGACUUGCAUGCUGUUAAUCAUCAGGAGUUCUCUCCUGUGCACUUGGCAGUGUUCAGGCCAGCAUCGAUUUUGGUGGUUGGAUAAAGACCUUAGGAAUGUGGCAUCUUUCGGGUGUGUUAUAGCCUUCGGUGCAAUGCAGCCAACUGGGAUCGAGGACCGCGCUUCGGCUAGGAUGCUGGCGUAAUGGUUGUAAGCGACCCGUCUUGAAACACGGACCAAGGAGUCUAACAUCUAUGCGAGUGUUUGGGUGUUAAACCCAUACGCGGAAUGAAAGUGAACGGAGGUAAGAACCCUUAAGGGUGCAUUAUCGACCGAUCCUGAUGUCUUCGGAUGGAUUUGAGUAAGAGCAUAGCUGUUGGGACCCGAAAGAUGGUGAACUAUGCGUGAAUAGGGUGAAGCCAGAGGAAACUCUGGUGGAGGCUCGCAGCGGUUCUGACGUGCAAAUCGAUCGUCAAAUUUGCGCAUAGGGGCGAAAGACUAAUCGAACUAUCUAGUUACCUUGGUUCCUGCCGAAGUUUCCU